UCCUACAACGUUGUACCAACAUUGCAAAAAGGUUGAGGAUUCUACGUUGUUGCUAAAGGUUGUCACAACGAUGUCAUAAGGUUGCCAUUUAAACAUCAUGAGGGUCGCAUGCUUUAGGUUGUGCUUAGGUGGCGUGGACGACCACUGUACAACAUUUACUGGUCACAGCUGAAUCAGUUUAAAUUUCAACAAGCCGUCGUCUCAUUCAUCAACGACCGAGGAGACGCUAUUUUCACAUGGAGGUAAUCUUCUAUUGAUAAUUUCUGGAUUUUAAUUAUGCAAUGUUUUCAGCUGUUGAAUUCACCUCAGAUCAGUGUUGCUGUAAUUCCCGAUCUAUGGAAAGAAGAAUUGGAUGAGCGAGCAACGCCACAACUACAGGGCCUCUUCUUUCUCUUC
Non-coding RNA from Danio rerio (zebrafish), 396 nucleotides. NCBI's taxonomy places the organism in Eukaryota, Metazoa, Chordata, Actinopteri, Cypriniformes, Danionidae. The record is from RefSeq and is a predicted model, not a curated record.